Molecule: long non-coding RNA, 826 nt
Organism: Drosophila albomicans
Lineage: Eukaryota; Metazoa; Arthropoda; Insecta; Diptera; Drosophilidae
Exons: 2
Source: RefSeq, a predicted model, not a curated record
AUAUACUUUCACUUUCAUAGCACGCAUGCGUUGUCCAUGUGGAUGCUACUCUUUCAGAAUUUUCACUUUCAUUUGAUUCAUUUCGUGGAGCAGGUCACGUUCCUGUCGUUUGCAUACUUUGUGGCGUCUCUCUCUCCCUCUCUCUCUUUCUUUUUCUUUUUUGUUGACUUUGAAAAAUUCGCAAAGUAUUUUUAGGAGAGACGGGGUAGCAACCCCCUAAAGAUUUAAUGCGUCUCGUUGGCGCAUUUCCCCAUCGCGCUAAUGUUGUUCCGAGUGUUCUGAGUGCAAAACCGCAUGGGAAAUUGCUGUUCAAUUGCAUGCGCCCAAGGUCAUUUCUCUAAUGAAGUACUCUUCAUUACACUGAUGGGCACAACAACAGCAGCAACAGCAGUAACUAAGCCGCAACAAUAUUUCACUAUUGAACGGUUAACAGCCCUCUGUUAAGUGACAGCGGCAGCAUCAGACAUCAGAAUGUUAUGAUGUCUUUUACUCUCCCACGCGACUCUCUGGCGCUCUCUCGCAGCUUAUGUUGCUCUCUAUCACUUGUUUACACAUUGCACGUGCAUAUUUGUCUUCUUUUUCAUUUCAUUCUCGGUCGCAGUCUGUGUUCGCAUUUUUAGGCAAACGGUUGUGUUUGUCGGCUACUACGACGACGGUUUUCAAAGCGAUAGAGAGCAAAAAAGCACAACAAAGCUUUGACAAGUGCAAGUGCAAGCAACAACAACAAUAACGGCAACUUAUGUGCUUUUCGUUUUACAGUACUACAAGGAUUAUGUGACUUUAGCAAAGAGAAACCCCAAAGCAAGGGCAAGAAAGAGAGUGAAAA